AUAUUGGACCAUGGGCGAAAGCCCGAUCCAGCCAUGCCGCGUGUGUGAAGAAGGGNCUNNGAUUGNANAGCACUUUAAGCUGGNNNNNAGGGCAGUAAUUUAAUACCUUUCUGCUUUGACGUUCACGACGGAAUAAGCACCGGCUAACUUCGUGCCAGCAGCCGCGGUAAUACGAAGGGUGCAAGCGUUACUCGGAAUUACUGGGCGUAAAGCGCGCGUAGGUGGUUUGUUAAGUUGGAAGUGAAAGCCCCGGGCUCAACCUGGGAACUGCUUUCAAAACUGGCAAGCUAGAGUAUGGCAGAGGGUGGUGGAAUUUCCUGUGUAGCGGUGAAAUGCGUAGAUAUAGGAAGGAACACCAGUGGCGAAGGCGACCACCUGGGCUAAUACUGACACUGAGGUGCGAAAGCGUGGGGAGCAAACAGG
Molecule: ribosomal RNA, 423 nt
Filed under: uncultured bacterium
Lineage: Bacteria
Description: partial 16S ribosomal RNA
Rfam family: Bacterial small subunit ribosomal RNA
Source: RNAcentral